GGGGACGUAGCUCAGUUGGCAGAGCACCUGCUUUGCAAGCAGGGGGUCGUGGGUUCGAAUCCCAUCGUCUCCACCA
RNAcentral lists this transfer RNA (76 nucleotides) under Acidimicrobiia bacterium. RNAcentral describes it as "tRNA-Ala". It matches the Rfam family "tRNA". From Rfam's summary of the family: Transfer RNA (tRNA) molecules are approximately 80 nucleotides in length. Their secondary structure includes four short double-helical elements and three loops (D, anti-codon, and T loops). Lineage: Bacteria; Bacillati; Actinomycetota; Acidimicrobiia. RNAcentral also lists the same sequence under 2 other names. The record is from RNAcentral.